RNAcentral lists this ribosomal RNA (429 nucleotides) under Hydrogenophaga pseudoflava. RNAcentral describes it as "bacterial SSU rRNA". It matches the Rfam family "Bacterial small subunit ribosomal RNA", at positions 39 to 473 of the family's 1533-position model. Lineage: Bacteria; Pseudomonadati; Pseudomonadota; Betaproteobacteria; Burkholderiales; Comamonadaceae. The record is from RNAcentral.
CGCGGAUGCUUUCAAUGCAAGUCGAACGGUAACAGGCCGCAAGGUGCUGACGAGUGGCGAACGGGUGAGUAAUGCAUCGGAACGUGCCCAGUCCGUGGGGGAUAACGCAGCGAAAGCUGUGCUAAUACCGCAUACGAUCUAUGGAUGAAAGCGGGGGACCGUAAGGCCUCGCGCGAUUGGAGCGGCCGAUGUCAGAUUUUUUAGUUGGUGGGGUAAAGGCCUACCAAGCCAACGAUCUGUAGCUGGUCUGAGAGGACGACCAGCCACACUGGGACUGAGACACGGCCCAGACUCCUACGGGAGGCAGCAGUGGGGAAUUUUGGACAAUGGGCGCAAGCCUGAUCCAGCAAUGCCGCGUGCAGGAAGAAGGCCUUCGGGUUGGAAACUGCUUUUGUACCGGAACCAAACGGUCUGGGUUAAUCCCUGGAC